GGGUUGCAUUUUUAGUGUAUUGUGUUACUACUGGCUCAAGAAAAUUUCUGGCAGGAAGAAUGGACGAAAUACACGGCAGUGCUGGGAGACACUGGUUGGUCAAGAGCUUUACCGUUUGGUUUUAAUGGAUCUGCUAUUUGCAAUGUCAUACAUCAUCUUAGCGGAGUUUCUGUGGGGGUUUUGUAUUAGAAACAUCACAUUAAGAAAAAGGAAACUAGAGUUUGACAUCGCACGAGAUGUUCUGGAGCUCAUCUACGGCCAAACGCUUGUGUGGUUUGGUGUGCUGUUUUCACCGCUCUUGCCUGCAGUGCAAAUUGGGAAACUGUUUCU
This is a long non-coding RNA of Sinocyclocheilus rhinocerous, 330 nucleotides long. RefSeq lists it as uncharacterized. The record is from RefSeq and is a predicted model, not a curated record. The transcript has 4 exons. Lineage: Eukaryota; Metazoa; Chordata; Actinopteri; Cypriniformes; Cyprinidae.